Molecule: non-coding RNA, 2183 nt
Organism: Caretta caretta (loggerhead turtle)
Lineage: Eukaryota; Metazoa; Chordata; Testudines; Cheloniidae
Source: RefSeq, a predicted model, not a curated record
GCGCCGGCGCCUAUAGGCUGCGCGGCGUGUGACGUAUAACGUGCGCGCCGUGGCGGCCGGCCCCAGGAUGCAGCGGGCGGCGCUGACCGGAGUUUGCGGCCCCCUGCGCGGGGGGGCCCGACCGCGGCCGGUCGUUUCCCGGCGGCUGGUUUGUCUCUUUCACACUGGUCUCCGUGCAUUUGCAGCGGAUAAGGAGCUGCUGGUGAAGCUCAGGAAGAAAACCGGUUAUUCCUUUGUGAAUUGUAAGACAGCCUUAGAGAAGUUCAGUGGCGACUCCAAACAGGCUGAAGCCUGGCUGCAUGAGCAGGCCCAAAAGGAGGGAUGGAGCAAAGCUUCCAAACUACAGGGCAGGAAGACAAAAGAAGGCCUUAUCGGGCUGCUGCAGGAGGGGAACGCGGCAGUUAUGGUGGAGGUGAAUUGUGAGACAGACUUUGUGGCCAGAAAUGCCAAAUUUCAACAGUUAGUUCAACAAGCAGCAACUGGGACAAUGUUCCACCAUCAAGGCGCUAAAGACCAGUUAACCACAUAUACCAAGCAUUUCAUGAAGGCAGCUGAGCUUUCUCAACUGCGGACCGGGCCUGCUGGAUGUUUGCUCAGUGACCAGCUGGCUCUCGCUAUAGGCAAACUAGGGGAGAACAUGGCUGUCAAGAGGGCUGCGUGGGUGGCAGUACCAGAGACCUACUACAUUGGCUCUUACGUCCACGGGGCACUGCCAGCGGCUAAUCCCUCCCUCCCUAACAUGGUGCUUGGGAAGUACGGUGCCUUAGUGAUCUGCCAAGCAUCUGAGCAGAGCCAGAAGUCAAACCUUGCUGAUCUAGGCCGGAGGCUGGGUCAGCAUGUAGUGGGAAUGGCCCCUCUGUCGGUGGGAUCUCUGGAGGAUGAACCUGGCGGAGACAUGGAAACCAAAAUGCUCGCCCAACCUUUCUUACUGGACCCCAGCAUUACCCUGGGCCAGUACGUGCAGCCCCAAGGUGUGUCUGUGCUGGACUUUGUGCGGUUUGAGUGUGGAGAGGACACAGAGAUACCAGAAGCAGAGUAGACACAGCAACGUCUCGCACAAGAAAACUCUUCGUAAUCUCACCUCUGCGGCCUGGGGCCGGGCAUUUACAUAUUGGAUCAGUAAGGAAAUAAUUAUGAGACGGGAUCAAUAAUGAAUUAAUCUCAUGUGCUGGACAUUUAAUACAGCAGGUGCAGUUGACCAGGGCCAUGUACGCUGCUCACUAGGAACAAGGCCCCAGCGCUUGGCUAGCCACCUGGAGAAGCUUCCACCCCAAACAGCAGUGAGUAUUUGGCCUGUAUGCAGGACUGCCACCUUCCUCUGUGAUAAAGGGGCCACAAUCCUUGCAUAUAGGAAAUUUUCAGCCUGUAAUAGAUCUCUGGCUAGGUGUGGCCAAGGGGGAGUCUGAUCUGUUACCGGCUGCAGCUGUGACAUGUCACCGCCUUGGGGAGCUUGUAACUUGGUUACAGUACACAGGUGACUCAGUUAAAUGCCUGGCUGCUGAGGUCUAGCAGCAGGCUGGGAGUGGUGGGUCUUGAUUCUGUUUGACUCAAGAUGGGCAGAGGCAAAGCUGAAGAAAUGGGGGUUAAAGAACUUCUUGGCAGGUCCUAGGAGAAAUCCACCUGGGCACUAGGGAAUGAAGUGCCAGCCGCAGGGCGGGUGGGCAUGGCUCACCCACACACUUGUCCACCCAGCUUGCUUGGUAGUAAGCAUAACCUCUAGUUCAUAUGAUACAUCUUUAUUUUUUUUAAGAAGUCCCAGGUGGAGAAGGGGCUACAGGCAGAAGACUGGCUAGAACUGGACUUUCUGCUGGUUGCAAACUAGCAUCGCCUGCGGGAAGCGUUCCUCAGGAGAGGAGACGCCGGCAGGUACAGUUGUCCUGCCAACAGCACUAAAGGUUUGAGAUCGUGGCUGAAGCUGGGAAGCUGUAGUAGCGAGUGAUACGUAGUGUUUUGUUUUCCAGCUUCCGGCGGUUGGCCGGAUGGGUGAAGCGGAAAUGCGGUCCUCGUGCCUGGCUGUGCAGCAGAUCCCCAACAGCCACAAAGGCAAUGACAAUAAAUGUGUAUAGAAAGCUAAAAUAUCAGCUAUUGAGUACACUUGCAAGAGUAAAAACCACCCCCUCACCCCCCCUGUUCCCUUACUGCUUUGGUCCCAGGUGUGGUAGAGCCCACCCCCAGGACAUGGG